UAUUAAUGAGUACCUAGCUAAUAAACUAAAGCAGUUGAUAAAAUACUAGGAAAUAGAUAAAGAAUAUGUCAAUGUAAUUGUUUCUGACUUGGCACAAAAAAAAGAUGUGUGUUGUCUAACAUUGAUGGCAAAUGUCAAUGUUCAACACUAGUCUGAAGCCUUUAGACAAUCCUGAGAAACUUUCACACGACAAUGAUGAUUAUGUCAUUAACAUAGCUAAUAGUGAAGAAAUCCUUCAUUUCAACUAUAUUGAGAAUAGUUUAAAAAUUAUUUAUCAUAAGUUUCCACAAUGGGAGGAAGAACAGCCCGUUGCAGACAACUUGUUUGUGAAUAUCUUAACUUCCUCUUCAUAAUAUGUAUUAUAAAUAAUCCUGUGCUGAA
Molecule: long non-coding RNA, 381 nt
Filed under: Androctonus crassicauda
Lineage: Eukaryota; Metazoa; Arthropoda; Arachnida; Scorpiones; Buthidae
Source: RNAcentral